Molecule: long non-coding RNA, 760 nt
Filed under: Helianthus annuus (common sunflower)
Lineage: Eukaryota; Viridiplantae; Streptophyta; Magnoliopsida; Asterales; Asteraceae
Source: RNAcentral
GUGAUUUACGAAAGGCAAAAGAAUAAAUGAAUAGAGUGUAGGGUUUUGACAGGAACUCAAGUCUUCUUCGCCGUUCAUCCCAAUCGCCCCUCAUUCAAAUAUUUCUUUUAUCCAAUAACAACCGACCCAUAUUAUUCAUCACCUAUCCUUACCCUUUUACACCUUCGUCCCUGCACACGAUCCAGAAUCCCUUCGCCUAAAAAAAAAGGUCGAGCUAUGCGCCGCCGCAAACCAGCCUCACCACACCUUCCGAUUUAAACAUCCGCCGCCAUUGAAGGUUGUGUCUGGUUCUUUCGUUUUGCCUCCGUGCGACCCAACUCGGUCCUUGACUAGCCGCCGCCGCAACACCUCGUCACUGUUGUUUUAGUUUCUGCACCAUAAACCAGCCACCUCAGUCGCUCUGGGCUAGAUCAAGAUCUUAUACCAGCAUCGCCUCUUGAUCUAUUCUGCUUAUUCCAACUUGUAGAGAAAUUUUCUUGUCACUGUGAUUUUUAAUGUGAAAAGAUGAUGUUCAUUGGGAUAUGGUUCUUGUACUAUUUGUGGGCGACUUGAUUUCUGUGUUGCUUUGCUCUGCUAUAUCUAAGGUAAUAUGGGAUGAUCUGGGAUUUCAGUGAGGAGCGUUAGGAAGUUGCUGACCAAGAUUAUUUAUUUUAGUAAUGUAAUAAAUGUAAUUAGGACCUUUUAUUUAAUGUUAUGGAUUGGUUUUUAGUUUUGAUAUCUGUAAGAGUGACACGUCAGCCCUAGCAGGGUUGGGGUGUUA